UACGGAAGGCAGCAGUGGGGAAUCUUGCGCAAUGGGCGAAAGCCUGACGCAGCCAUGCCGCGUGAAUGAUGAAGGUCUUAGGAUUGUAAAAUUCUUUCACCGGGGACGAUAAUGACGGUACCCGGAGAAGAAGCCCCGGCUAACUUCGUGCCAGCAGCCGCGGUAAUACGAAGGGGCUAGCGUUGCUCGGAAUUACUGGGCGUAAAGGGAGCGUAGGCGGACAUUUAAGUCAGGGGUGAAAUCCCGGGGCUCAACCUCGGAAUUGCCUUUUGAUACUGGGUGUCUUGAGUAUGAGAGAGGUGUGUGGAACUCCGAGUGUAGAGGUGAAAUUCGUAGAUAUUCGGAAGAACACCAGUGGCGAAGGCGACACACUGGCUCAUUACUGCGCUGAGGCUCGAAAGCGUGGGGAGCAAACAGGGAUUAGAUACC
RNAcentral lists this ribosomal RNA (429 nucleotides) under uncultured bacterium. Its description in RNAcentral is "bacterial SSU rRNA". It matches the Rfam family "Bacterial small subunit ribosomal RNA", at positions 340 to 786 of the family's 1533-position model. The record is from RNAcentral.